GCUUAUUUCAUAGCCGUGCUCGAAUGUUGUCUCAGGCUAUCUUCGUUCAGACGUGUAUUGGGUAGUCGGCAAAGGGGAGAGCUGAUGAAACUGUAGCUCUGGAAAAACCCACAGGUUCUCUGUGGAAUCCCAGCCCUUUCCGCCCUAGAUCGAAUUCUAUGGCAUCAUAGUACGGGAUCUGCGCUUUUCGUUCCUCGCAACCCCGCCUCCAAUGGCCAUUACAUUCUUAUUCUCUUUCUCAACUGUGGAUCUUUGUUUCUUACUGGAUUUUUUAUUUGGAUCUAAAUUCAUAUUGUCAUAUUUGUUUUAAGUUGAUUGAUUCAAAAACUUUUGUUGAUUUCUAUUUCGUCCAUUAAAUCUUUUCGAUGCUUUAACUUAUUUCUUUUCUCUAAAAAUGGUUUUUUUGAAUGAUUGAAUCGAUUCUACAUUGGUUGCAUCUAGGUCAAUCAAAAUCAAAAUUCCAUUUUUGAAGAGUUAGGAAAUGAAAGAAAUCGAAAGCCUUGGCUCUUUCAAAUUAUGCUUUUUUUUUGGUUAGGUGGAACCAUUUUUUCGGCUUCAACAUUUCUUUUUUUUUUCUCGUCCAACUUCACAUCGGACGGCGAAAUUCUUUCCUAAACGCUACGCAGAUUUGUCUCUCUCAUAUUCGGCAUACGCCGUUCUAGGGUUUCCUUACCCUCCUGUUCACUGUUGCCGCCAUUGACGUUGGUGCUGCUUACUGGCCUUUUGUUCUAAUGAGGCAAUCCCGCUGGAUUCCUCGGCGCGGAUGAUGAAUCACGGAGAGUGAAGGGAGCGAGGGCCAGAAAUUCUUCUUCGGGUCAAAGGCCCGCAAUCAUCAGAUCUUGCCGCCUCCGCUCUCCUCAACAGGGCGUCUCCGGAUUACCACCAUGUUUGUUCACUUCUAUGUCGUUUUGAUCCUUCUUACGUAAGACGCUCAUCCUCUAAAUUCUUGUCCAGUGAAAUCAGUUUCUUUGGACAGAUUGAGUUUGCAUUUGAUCAUUCCUCGAAUGCUAAUUUGAUAUCAAAUUCUCUCUUAUAUCUUCCUCUGUCCGUAGAUGGUGAUCAAUUGCAAGUUUGCAGUUUUGUUGGAUUUCUAUCUGCUUACAUGUUCUCUAUAAUUUUUUCUUCACCCUGAUGGAAAAAUGUGACAGUGCGAUUCCCAGGUCUUUUUUACUUGAUUUAACUAUUUAGAUUUUCUGAUCCUGUUUAGUGAACAAUUAUGUGUUUUAUUCUGUGCUAUAAAGUUCCGUGUAUUAUUUUUGUUUUUUUGUUUAUUUUUUCUCUUGUUUUCUUUUGUUGAUUAACUGAAUGUCUUAUUCAUUCAAUUGAUUUCCCUAGUUUUCUUCUGCUAUGUUUUUUCCCUUGUUCCCCCCACGAAGUUGUUAUGAAGAGCUGUUAACAUGUAAGGAGAACUCUCGACAGUUCUGUUCUCCAAUGAAAUUUUCUUGUUACGCUUGGCUUCUGAGCUUAAUUUUGCUCUUCUAUUCAUGAGUCCCUUACUUGUUACAUUUGUCUCGUCCUUUUUCCUUUUCUUUUACCUGUGGUGUUCUAUUUUAUCUCCUCUAUUCAAUCAAUUUUAUAACUACCAUGUGUAAGUAAUGAUUACCGACGUGUUUUUUAUGUACUCUUUUCUUUGCAUUGCUCUUUUGAAAUAAGUUUUCACCAAUUAAAUGCGAUCCAAUUUCUGUUAGUUAUUUUGUAUUCAGGUGACUGAUAAUUACUACAGACCGGAUCUAACUAAGGCUGCUCUUGCACGGCCGAGUUCAGUUCAUUGCAGUCUUAGAGUUGCAAACUACAAAGAAAUAGGUCGAAGGGUGGUGCCUGGCCACCAAUUUAGUUCUCUCUUCUCUAUUGGUGUGUGUACUCACUCUGAAUGCCCUAUCUUACUUUAGAAAAUAUUUUCUAUAUUCUGUCUUUUUUAUUUAGAAAAGAUUUUUGUUAUUUUUAUUGGUUUCUAGUGUAUGGAUGUGGGAUCUUGAUUUUUA
Molecule: long non-coding RNA, 1982 nt
Organism: Zingiber officinale
Lineage: Eukaryota; Viridiplantae; Streptophyta; Magnoliopsida; Zingiberales; Zingiberaceae
Exons: 2
Source: RefSeq, a predicted model, not a curated record